RNAcentral lists this ribosomal RNA (236 nucleotides) under uncultured bacterium. RNAcentral's name for it is "partial 16S ribosomal RNA". It matches the Rfam family "Bacterial small subunit ribosomal RNA", at positions 118 to 347 of the family's 1533-position model. The record is from RNAcentral.
UGAGCAAUCUGCCCUUCUCUUCGGAAUAAGCGUGGGAAACCGCGUCUAAUGCCGAAUACGACCUCCUUUCGCAUGAUCGGAGGUGGAAAGCUCCGGCGGAGAAGGAUGAGCUCGCGGCCUAUCAGCUAGUUGGUGUGGGUAAUGGCCCACCAAGGCGACGACGGGUAGCCGGCCUGAGAGGGUGACCGGCCACACUGGGACUGAGACACGGCCCAGACCUCCGUACGGGAGNAGCG